Molecule: ribosomal RNA, 521 nt
Filed under: uncultured bacterium
Lineage: Bacteria
Description: bacterial SSU rRNA
Rfam family: Bacterial small subunit ribosomal RNA
Source: RNAcentral
GACGAACGCUGGCGGCGUGCCUAACACAUGCAAGUCGAGCGAAGUGUUUGAAGCUGAUUCUUUCGGGAAGAAGUUUCAAAUAUCUUAGCGGCGGACGGGUGAGUAACGCGUGAGGAACCUGCCUUCCACAAGGGGAUAGCCUUGGGAAACUGGGAUUAAUACCCUAUGACACUUAUUUACUGCAUGGUAGAUAAGUUAAAGCGAAUUAGCGGUGGAAGAUGGCCUCGCGUCCCAUUAGCUAGUUGGUGAGGUAACGGCUCACCAAGGCGACGAUGGGUAGCCGGCCUGAGAGGGUGAACGGCCACACUGGAACUGAGACACGGUCCAGACUCCUACGGGAGGCAGCAGUGGGGAAUAUUGCACAAUGGGCGAAAGCCUGAUGCAGCGACGCCGCGUGAGUGAAGAAGGCCUUCGGUCGUAAACUACUGUCCUAAGGACGGAUAAUGACGGUACCGUUACGGUAGGGAAGGACCCCGGGCCGUAACCUAACCGUGCCAGCAGCCGCGGUAAAGUACUACUAU